This 257-nucleotide ribosomal RNA is filed under the name Serratia sp. AD7.15. RNAcentral describes it as "partial 16S ribosomal RNA". It matches the Rfam family "Bacterial small subunit ribosomal RNA", at positions 1170 to 1426 of the family's 1533-position model. Lineage: Bacteria; Pseudomonadati; Pseudomonadota; Gammaproteobacteria; Enterobacterales; Yersiniaceae. The record is from RNAcentral.
AAGGGGGGGAGGACGUCAAGUCAUCACGGCCCUUACGAGUAGGGCUACACACGUGCUACAAUGGCGUAUACAAAGAGAAGCAAACUCGCGAGAGCAAGCGGACCUCAUAAACUACGUCGUAGUCCGGAUGGGAGUCUGCAACUCGCCUCCGGGAAGUCGGAAUCGUUAGUAAUCGUAGAUCAGAAUGCUACGGUGAAUACGUUCCCGGGCCUUGUACACACCGCCCGUCACACCAUGGGAGUGGGUUGCAACAAGAA